RNAcentral lists this ribosomal RNA (428 nucleotides) under Bacillota bacterium. Its description in RNAcentral is "Firmicutes bacterium partial 16S ribosomal RNA". It matches the Rfam family "Bacterial small subunit ribosomal RNA", at positions 355 to 776 of the family's 1533-position model. Lineage: Bacteria; Bacillati; Bacillota. The record is from RNAcentral.
UGGGGAAUCUUGCGCAAUGGGCGAAAGCCUGACGCAGCGACGCCGCGUGCGGGAAGAAGGCCUUCGGGUUGUAAACCGCUUUCAGGAGGGACGAAGCCACUCGGGUGAACAGCCCAGAGGGUGACGGUACCUCCAGAAGAAGCCCCGGCUAACUACGUGCCAGCAGCCGCGGUAAUACGUAGGGGGCAGGCGUUGUCCGGAUUCAUUGGGCGUAAAGAGCGUGUAGGCGGCCAGGUAGGUCGGUUGUGAAAACUGGAGGCUCAACCUUCAGAGGUCGACCGAAACCAUCUGGCUAGAGUCCGGGAGAGGAGAGUGGAAUUCCUGGUGUAGCGGUGAAAUGCGCAGAUAUCAGGAAGAACACCCGUGGCGAAAGCGGCUCUCUGGAACGGUACUGACGCGGAGACGCGAAAGCGUGGGGAGCGAACAGG